GUGCCAGCAGCCGCGGUAAUACGGAGGGUGCAAGCGUUGUCCGGAUUUAUUGGGUUUAAAGGGUGCGUAGGCGGGCUAGUAAGUCUGGUUUGAAAGUCAGCGGCUCAACCGUUGAGGGUGGCUGGAUACUGUUAGUCUUGAAAUUGUUGGAGGCAGCCGGAACGGAUCGUGUAGCGGUGAAAUGCAUAGAUAUGAUCCAGAACACCAAUUGCGUAGGCAGGCUGCUACGACUGAUUUGACGCUGAGGCACGAGAGCAUGGGGAGCAAACAGGAUUAGAUACCCUGGUAGUCC
Molecule: ribosomal RNA, 292 nt
Filed under: uncultured bacterium
Lineage: Bacteria
Description: partial 16S ribosomal RNA
Rfam family: Bacterial small subunit ribosomal RNA
Source: RNAcentral